AGAGGAUUGGCUGAGCGGCGAAAGCAACAGUCUUGAAAACUGUAGGAACUGUAGGAUGUUAACAGCGUCCCAAGGGUACGUCCCUUAUCCUCUGCCA
Molecule: transfer RNA, 97 nt
Filed under: Vibrio sp. V15_P4S5T153
Lineage: Bacteria; Pseudomonadati; Pseudomonadota; Gammaproteobacteria; Vibrionales; Vibrionaceae
Also listed under: 1 other name
Description: tRNA-Ser
Rfam family: tRNA
About the family: Transfer RNA (tRNA) molecules are approximately 80 nucleotides in length.
Source: RNAcentral